RNAcentral lists this ribosomal RNA (424 nucleotides) under uncultured bacterium. RNAcentral describes it as "bacterial SSU rRNA". It matches the Rfam family "Bacterial small subunit ribosomal RNA", at positions 355 to 776 of the family's 1533-position model. The record is from RNAcentral.
UGGGGAAUAUUGGUCAAUGGGCGUAGGCCUGAACCAGCCAAGUAGCGUGAAGGAUGACUGCCCUAUGGGUUGUAAACUUCUUUUAUAUGGGAAUAAAGUUUUCCACGUGUGGAAUUUUGUAUGUACCAUAUGAAUAAGGAUCGGCUAACUCCGUGCCAGCAGCCGCGGUAAUACGGAGGAUCCGAGCGUUAUCCGGAUUUAUUGGGUUUAAAGGGAGCGUAGGUGGACAGUUAAGUCAGUUGUGAAAGUUUGCGGCUCAACCGUAAAAUUGCAGUUGAUACUGGCUGUCUUGAGUACAGUAGAGGUGGGCGGAAUUCGUGGUGUAGCGGUGAAAUGCUUAGAUAUCACGAAGAACUCCGAUUGCGAAGGCAGCUCACUGGACUGCAACUGACACUGAUGCUCGAAAGUGUGGGUAUCAAACAGG